This 481-nucleotide ribosomal RNA is filed under the name uncultured bacterium. RNAcentral describes it as "partial 16S ribosomal RNA". It matches the Rfam family "Bacterial small subunit ribosomal RNA", at positions 30 to 507 of the family's 1533-position model. The record is from RNAcentral.
AUUGAACGCUGGCGGCAUGCUUUACACAUGCAAGUCGAACGGUAACAGGCCGCAAGGUGCUGACGAGUGGCGAACGGGUGAGUAAUGCAUCGGAACGUGCCCAGUCGUGGGGAUAACUACUCGAAAGAGUAGCUAAUACCGCAUACGGACUAUGGAUGAAAGCGGGGGACCGUAAGGCCUCGCGCGAUUGGAGCGGCCGAUGUCAGAUUAGGUAGUUGGUGGGGUAAAGGCUCACCAAGCCAACGAUCUGUAGCUGGUCUGAGAGGACGACCAGCCACACUGGGACUGAGACACGGCCCAGACUCCUACGGGAGGCAGCAGUGGGGAAUUUUGGACAAUGGGCGCAAGCCUGAUCCAGCAAUGCCGCGUGCAGGAAGAAGGCCUUCGGGUUGUAAACUGCUUUUGUACGGAACGAAACGGCUCUGGUUAAUACCCGGGGCUAAUGACGGUACCGUAAGAAUAAGCACCGGCUAACUACGUG